Molecule: ribosomal RNA, 500 nt
Filed under: uncultured bacterium
Lineage: Bacteria
Description: partial 16S ribosomal RNA
Rfam family: Bacterial small subunit ribosomal RNA
Source: RNAcentral
AUUGAACGCUGGCGGAAUGCUUUACACAUGCAAGUCGAACGGCAGCACGGACUUCGGUCUGGUGGCGAGUGGCGAACGGGUGAGUAAUGUAUCGGAACGUGCCCAGUCGUGGGGGAUAACGUAGUGAAAGUUACGCUAAUACCGCAUACGAUCUAUGGAUGAAAGCGGGGGAUCGCAAGACCUCGCGCGAUUGGAGCGGCCGAUAUCAGAUUAGGUAGUAGGUGGGGUAAAGGCCCACCAAGCCAACGAUCUGUAGCUGGUCUGAGAGGACGACCAGCCACGCUGGAACUGAGACACGGUCCAGACUCCUACGGGAGGCAGCAGUGGGGAAUUUUGGACAAUGGGCGAAAGCCUGAUCCAGCCAUUCCGCGUGCAGGAUGAAGGCCCUCGGGUUGUAAACUGCUUUUGUACAGAACGAAAAGGUUUCUACUAAUACUAGGAGCUCAUGACGGUACUGUAAGAAUAAGCACCGGCUAACUACGUGCCAGCCGCCGCGGUAA